ACGCUGGCGGCAGGCCUAACACAUGCAAGUCGAGCGGUAGAGAGAAGCUUGCUUCUCUUGAGAGCGGCGGACGGGUGGGUAAUGCCUAGGAAUCUGCCUGGUAGUGGGGGAUAACGUUCGGAAACGGACGCUAAUACCGCAUACGUCCUACGGGGGAAAGCAGGGGACCUUCGGGCCUUGCGCUAUCAGAUGAGCCUAGGUCGGAUUAGCUAGUUGGUGAGGUAAUGGCUCACCAAGGCGACGAUCCGUAACUGGUCUGAGAGGAUGAUCAGUCACACUGGAACUGAGACACGGUCCAGACUCCUACGGGAGGCAGCAGUGGGGAAUAUUGGACAAUGGGCGAAAGCCUGAUCCAGCCAUGCCGCGUGUGUGAAGAAGGUCUUCGGAUUGUAAAGCACUUUAAGUUGGGAGGAAGGGUUGUAGAUUAAUACUCUGCAAUUUUGACGUUACCGACAGAAUAAGCACCGGCUAACUCUGUGCCAGCAGCCGCGGUAAUACAGAGGGUGCAAGCGUUAAUCGGAAUUACUGGGCGUAAAGCGCGCGUAGGUGGUUUGUUAAGUUGGAUGUGAAAUCCCCGGGCUCAACCUGGGAACUGCAUUCAAAACUGACUGACUAGAGUAUGGUAGAGGGUGGUGGAAUUUCCUGUGUAGCGGUGAAAUGCGUAGAUAUAGGAAGGAACACCAGUGGCGAAGGCGACCACCUGGACUAAUACUGACACUGAGGUGCGAAAGCGUGGGGAGCAAAC
Molecule: ribosomal RNA, 745 nt
Filed under: uncultured bacterium
Lineage: Bacteria
Description: bacterial SSU rRNA
Rfam family: Bacterial small subunit ribosomal RNA
Source: RNAcentral